RNAcentral lists this ribosomal RNA (768 nucleotides) under uncultured bacterium. RNAcentral describes it as "bacterial SSU rRNA". It matches the Rfam family "Bacterial small subunit ribosomal RNA", at positions 29 to 834 of the family's 1533-position model. The record is from RNAcentral.
GUAAGUGCGGUGUGCUUAGCAUGCAANUUCACGGUAAGUUAGUCUUCGGACUAACACAAGUAGCAGACGGGUGAGUACAACACAGGAACUUACCCUCAAGUGGGGAAUAGCCAGUCGAAAAUCUGGGUAAUACCGCAUGUGAUCUUCGGAUCAAAGCCUUCGGGCGCUUGGGGAGAGGCCUGUGCCCUAUCAGGUAGUUGGUGAGGUAAUAGCUCACCAAGCCGACAACGGGUAGCCGGUGUGAGAGCACGACCGGCCACAAGGUUACUGAGACACGGAACCUACACCUACGGGUGGCAGCAACUGGGAAUAUUGCGCAAUGGGCGAAAGCCUGACGCAGCGACACCGCGUGUGGGAAGACGCUCUUCGGAGUGUAAACCACUGUGGCAGGGGAACAAUUUUUGAGGGUACCCUGCUAGAAAGCACCUGCUAACUACGUGCCAGAAGCCUCGGUAAUACGUAGGGUGCAAGCAUUAUCCGGAUUUAUUGGGCGUAAAGCGUCCGUCGGCGUUUUAUUAAGUUUUAACUUUAAUACUGGAGCUUAACUCCAGAUACAGGUUAAAAUACUGGUAGAAUUGAGUUUACUAGGGGGAGCUGGAAUUCUCGGUGGAGGGGUGAAAUCCGUACAUAUCGAGAGGAACACCAUUCGCGAAGGCGGGCUCCUGGAGUAUACUGACGCUCAGGGACGAAAGUCUGGGUAGCAAAAGGGAUUUANANACCCCUGUNNUCNAAACGUAACCNAUCCUUNGCUAAUUGCUUGAUUCUUCA